GACGAACGCUGGCGGCGUGCUUAACACAUGCAAGUCGAGCGGUAAGGCCCUUUCGGGGGUACACGAGCGGCGAACGGGUGAGUAACACGUGGGUGACCUGCCCUCAGCUCUGGGAUAAGCCUGGGAAACCGGGUCUAAUACUGGAUAUGACUCCAUGACGCAUGUUGUGGGGUGGAAAGCCUUGUGCGGCUGAGGAUGGGCCCGCGGCCUAUCAGCUUGUUGGUGGGGGNGAU
RNAcentral lists this ribosomal RNA (233 nucleotides) under uncultured bacterium. Its description in RNAcentral is "partial 16S ribosomal RNA". It matches the Rfam family "Bacterial small subunit ribosomal RNA", at positions 28 to 262 of the family's 1533-position model. The record is from RNAcentral.